This 73-nucleotide transfer RNA is filed under the name Felis catus (domestic cat). It matches the Rfam family "tRNA". Rfam says of the family: Transfer RNA (tRNA) molecules are approximately 80 nucleotides in length. Their secondary structure includes four short double-helical elements and three loops (D, anti-codon, and T loops). The record is from Rfam by way of RNAcentral. RNAcentral also lists the same sequence under 1 other name. Lineage: Eukaryota; Metazoa; Chordata; Mammalia; Carnivora; Felidae.
ACCUGGCUGGCUCAGUCAGUGGAGCGUGUGACUCUUGAUCUUGGGGUUGUAAGUUCGAGCCUCACGUGAGGUG